GUCAAAGCUUCGUUUGGUGGUCCAUCCGCCAUUUCCCCGACUGCCUCGUCUACGAUACUUUUCUGGUGCUUGCACAUUGUCUACGGAGAGGUCUUCUCUGCUCCAAUGGAACAUCUUCAUUCGCGCUACCAAGCCCUCUGGUGGCAGCGGUUUCCCG
Molecule: non-coding RNA, 157 nt
Filed under: Pseudo-nitzschia australis
Lineage: Eukaryota; Bacillariophyta; Bacillariophyceae; Bacillariales; Bacillariaceae
Source: RNAcentral